UAGCUUGCUAAGGGGAUUAGUGGCGAACGGGUGAGUAAUAUAUCGGAACGUACCUUGUAAUGGGGGAUAACUAGUCGAAAGAUUAGCUAAUACCGCAUACGCCCUGAGGGGGAAAGUAGGGGAUCUUCGGACCUUACGUUAUAAGAGCGGCCGAUAUCUGAUUAGCUAGUUGGUGGGGUAAUGGCCUACCAAGGCGACGAUCAGUAGCUGGUCUGAGAGGACGACCAGCCACACUGGAACUGAGACACGGUCCAGACUCCUACGGGAGGCAGCAGUGGGGAAUUUUGGACAAUGGGCGCAAGCCUGAUCCAGCCAUUCCGCGUGAGUGAAGAAGGCCUUCGGGUUGUAAAGCUCUUUCGCAAGGGAAGAAAACUUACAUUCUAAUAAAGUGUGAGGCUGACGGUACCUUGAUAAGAAGCACCGGCUAACUACGUGCCAGCAGCCGCGGUAAUACGUAGGGUGCGAGCGUUAAUCGGAAUUACUGGGCGUAAAGCGUGCGCAGGCGGUUUUGUAAGUCAGAUGUGAAAUCCCCGAGCUCAACUUGGGAACUGCGUUUGAAACUACAAGACUAGAAUAUGUCAGAGGGGGGUAGAAUUCCACGUGUAGCAGUGAAAUGCGUAGAGAUGUGGAGGAAUACCAAUGGUGAAGGCAGCCCCCUGGGAUAAUAUUGACGCUCAUGCACGAAAGCGUGGGGAGCAAACAGGAUUAGAUACCCUGGUAGUCCACGCCCUAAACGAUGUCUACUAGUUGUUGGUGGAGUAAAAUCCAUGAGUAACGCAGCUAACGCGUGAAG
RNAcentral lists this ribosomal RNA (793 nucleotides) under uncultured bacterium. RNAcentral describes it as "bacterial SSU rRNA". It matches the Rfam family "Bacterial small subunit ribosomal RNA", at positions 76 to 864 of the family's 1533-position model. The record is from RNAcentral.